AUUGAACGCUGGCGGCAGGCUUAACACAUGCAAGUCGAGCGGGGUGAUGGUGCUUGCACUAUCACUUAGCGGCGGACGGGCGAGUAAUGCUUAGGAAUCUGCCUAUUAGUGGGGGACAACAUCUCGAAAGGGAUGCUAAUACCGCAUACGUUCUACGGGAGAAAGCAGGGGAUCACUUGUGACCUUGCGCUAAUAGAUGAGCCUAAGUCGGAUUAGCUAGUUGGUGGGGUAAAGGCCUACCAAGGCGCCGAUCUGUAGCGGGUCUGAGAGGAUGAUCCGCCACACUGGGACUGAGACACGGCCCAGACUCCCACGGGAGGCAGCAGUGGGGAAUAUUGGACAAUGGGGGGAACCCUGAUCCAGCCAUGCCGCGUGUGUGAAGAAGGCCUUAUGGUUGUAAAGCACUUUAAGCGAGGAGGAGGCUCUUUUGGUUAAUACCCAGGAUGAGUGGACGUUACUCGCAGAAUAAGCACCGGCUAACUCUGUGCCAGCAGCCGCAGUAA
This 503-nucleotide ribosomal RNA is filed under the name uncultured bacterium. RNAcentral's name for it is "partial 16S ribosomal RNA". It matches the Rfam family "Bacterial small subunit ribosomal RNA", at positions 30 to 523 of the family's 1533-position model. The record is from RNAcentral.